ACCCGUUUCUUGAAAAUUCUGUCAAUGUUACAGUACAUUGAAUGCCUGUGUCAAUGUGGUUUCUGUGGCUAUAACUGCUCUUUUCUUCUUAGGUACAGGAAACAAGUCAAUCAUUUUCACAUGUGUUGGAACCAUAUUCAACAAAGAAACGACACAAUUAGAUCACCAAUGUUCCGCGCUUUUCUAUUGCUGUUACUGGCAGGUCCUGCACACACUAGUGUGAAGGUAAACCAGUGGACGUCUGAAACUCGCUACACAUUGGGAGACACAGCCAUUUUGCAUUGCAACAUAACCUCCGAUCAGGAGGUGAUAGAGAACUGUGAAAUGCAUUGGGUAAUCAUGGAUAUCAACAACAAAAACCGAACAAUAGAUGUCCUGAAGACAGAGUUGUAUAAGCAACGUGUAAACAUUGAGUCAAUUGAAAGCACCACUUCCAUGACAUUAAGAAACCUGACCUUACAUGACAGAGAUAUGCCAAACUGUACAGCAGAGUGCUACUUUGAUGGACAAUAUAAAAGAUAUUUUGGGAUGGGUUCUGUUCAGAUUUUCGAAGAGAUGGAAGUAAAGGAAGUCACCCAGGACAAGACAACUGUGGCUCCAAGUGAACUUUAAGAGGAGCCAUUUUACCCCUGGAUCAAAUAUCUACUGUUCUCUAGUAAUCUUCUAAUCUUUCUUGUAGCAACAGCUAUUUAUGUGUUUUACAUGCGAAAACAAAUGCAAAGGAAUUAAAGAACGAAUUGGCCGUGUUACUGCUGUAUGCAUCUCUCGUCCAGCACCAGAUCAAAUGCCACCUUUAUGAGAAUGUAUCAAAUUGAUAUAACAUGGCUUUGGCUAGUGUAAGUGUCCAGUGCUGGUGAUCGCGUGCCCGUUGGAGCCGCUUCUUCUUGUUUUCAGCGGAUAGGAGUGGAACCCAGUGUGGUCGCCUGCUGACAAGGACCGAUGAGUUGUGCAUUCCGAUACGCCAUUCUCUGUAAACCAUAACACAUGGAUGGGCAACUUUGAUUCUUGUGGGGGCCACAAAAGAUCUAAACUGAUCACGAGGGGCUGCCGUUGCUCUCAGGUCUCAUACCCACAUCCAUAGCUGUUUUACAGCGAAUUUCCUGCUAUUCUACACAUUUUGCCAUAGGGUGUAGAGAAAUGUUGGCCGUUUUAAUAUGAUAUCUUAGUGAGACUGACAAACAAAAAAAACUAUGGGGGACAUCUCGGCCGAUAAUUCGACCAUGAUUACAAGUUUAGAUAGCUGUCCGAUAAACUAAUUUGGCAAUCUAAAAAAUGUUAGCUGACAUGGGAUAAUUGACUGACUAUCUGUGUCUGACAUAAACAAGAGAAACCUUUCUGAAACACAACCACAUUUCGAAAUUGCACCCUGUGUAUUCUACUAUUCUAACCCAUAACAGUAAAUGUAGACCCCGUCUGAGUUCCUAAUUGAUUCGAGUUCCUUUAAAAGGAGACGCGGGACGCAAGUUGCCCAAUUUUACCCUAGACAAUGUCGUGCGUGAAAAGUCUCCGAGGCCGACCGUUUCAAAUAAACUGGCCACUGAGUGUAUAUGAUAUGAAUAGUGAUAAGACGAGCUAAUGAAAUAGGCUGCCAAUGCAACGUUAGCCUAGUCUACUACAGGCUGCACAGUUUUUGUAGUUCACGUGUCGCCUUGCAAAACCGGUCACAUACAAUAUUGUGGCUUCAAGGUAAUCAAAAUCGAAAGCAAAAUGUUUCUUUCGUUUUUAUUUUAUUUUCAACUUUACAUUGUUCAUUAUAUAGCUACCGUAGGCUACUAUGCUAUUGAUUAAUACACAAUUUAUCAUACUUAAAUUGACUGUUCACUUAAAAUCCCAGACUAUAUUCAAAUGAAAGCUUUAACAGCCUCUGCUGUUUUUCGAAUCCCAGACUGUAGCUUUAACAUGAAAUUAUCAAUAUUACAGAAGGACAUGGGAUCUUUUUUUAUUUGUAUUAUUAGCUGGUUAUAUUAGGCUUACUACAGUAUGCCACAAAACCUAUAUAUAUAGGCUACUAUCCUGGCCUAGGCUAUGCUACUGUAAGGCUGACGCUUCACAUUUCUGCCUCGAAAAAACUGUCAAAUAUAAUGUGGAAUUGUGGAUCAAAAUCGAAAGUGAAAUGUUAUUCUUGUUUUUACUUUAUCUUUUCAACUUUACAAUGUUCAUUAUAUAGCUACUGUAGGCCUACUGUGCUAUUGAUUAAUAAACUAUCAUAAUCAA
Salmo salar (Atlantic salmon) is the source of this 2214-nucleotide long non-coding RNA. RefSeq lists it as uncharacterized. Lineage: Eukaryota; Metazoa; Chordata; Actinopteri; Salmoniformes; Salmonidae. The record is from RefSeq and is a predicted model, not a curated record.